GUUAUAAAACAGUGCUAAUGUUUUCAUGAAGGGGAGUAAGACUUGUGGUAUAAUAUAUCUUAAAUACAAGUAAGCAUUACAGCUUGUCUGUGCAGAUUGAUGUUGGAAAUUGCUAUAUGAAAUGACUUUUAAAAAUAUUAAUUACUGUGGCUGAAGGAUAUAAAUGUGUGAUUACUCUACAUACUCCUAAAUUAGAGAUGUUGUGAAGAUUCUUAACAUGUUGACUGCUGGGCGCUCUCUCUUCAGAAGACAUAAGAUUUAAAAUCCCCAUUCUGACAGGACAUGACUGCCAAUCUGUAUAUCCUGCCUGAGUAUCCUGCACUACCAAACAGAUGCCUUACUUUUACAUGUAUUUUACUGCAAGUCUGAAGAAGACCAAGAGUGACCAUAUUUCCUUUUGUGUCUUUCUAACUCUACCAAACAGUUUCCAUUAUGAACAGUUCAUAUAAAUCUUGCAUACUUCUUCUUGUAUCAUAUACAUGUUUUUUGAUGGAUUAAACUGUAAAACUAUUGUAAUUUUAGCACUACCAGAGUAAUUAUAAAUGAACUGUUUUACAAAUAGAGAGUGAGUGAAGGUAUGACAGUAAACUGGAUUAAGAAUGUUAAAUAAAAUAUGUUUUUGCAAAUUUGGACGACAAUUAAUUGCAAUUAUGUACCGUUUCAUCAAUAGAAGUAGUAUAUACUUGCAAAUCCAUACCAUUACAUCACAGGAAGUAGUAUGGUUGUCUGAGCGAAGCCAAUUGGAAGUACGUACCUCUUAGUGAAGCUAAUUGGGAGCACACCCUCUGUCUUGUUGCGAAGCUGAUUGGAAGCAGUACAUAUAUACCUCUGUCUGCUAAAGCUAUUUAGAAGCAGUACCCCUGGCAGAGAGGUCCCAAUUAGAAGUAUGUAACUCUGAGGGAAGCCAAUUGGAAGCAUGUACCUCUGCAAAAUUUGAUUAAAAAGUUAUUCAACAAAUUUUAUUUAACAUUCUUUUUAAAGUUUACUUAUCACUUCACCAUUUAGUAGACCAUUCUAAUAAAUUACUACAACACACGAUCAAGUAUUGUUAUAAGGGUAAAAUACUUUAUAAAUUUUAGUUUAUGCACCUUUAAAUGAUAACUUAUCUUACUGUAACUUUUUGAAAGCUAAGGUUCCUCAAGAUCUAUAGGGAGAAUGAUAUAAGUUUGCUGUGAAGGGCAUAUGAUACAGUAACAGGGGAGGUAAUGACAUUGCUACUGUCUAAUGUUACUUUUAGCCAUGUCAAAUAGUUACAUAUCAAUAAAUGACCCAUUUUUUGACUUGACAAAAAUAGGAUUUUUAUUUUCAGUCUUUGGGUCAUGUAUAAAAAAAUGGAUUUUCAGAAAGUUGGCUUCUGAGGCUUGAACUUCUUUUCUUUACACUUUUGAACCCCAACCAAAAAGAUACACUAGUUUUCUCUGCCAAUUAAAAGUGUUGUGUUUAUGUAUUUUGUAGCAUGAUGCCUUAUAAUUAAAUUUUGCUUGUGUUUCAUAGAAUUCUGGUUGGAAAUAUUUUGAAAACCUAGCUUCACUCUACCCAGAGUGUCAAGUUUCUUUUUAUAUACUCUAACUUUUACAUGAUCAUGUAUUUUGUUUUGAAUAGUUCUCCUUUAUUAUAGUGUCCAAAGUAUAACUCUUGAGACAGUUCUUCCAAGCAAAUAGUUACAAAACAUUUUUCCACUACAUAUUGAUUUUAUCUGGUUUUAAAUACUUCAUUAAUUAUCAUUAUAAUGAUUUUCUUUAUGUGUAUAUGUUUAUACUUAUGAGUUGUUGUAUUCAUGUAUAUUGUGUGUAUAAUAAUUCCCUAGUCAUAAAAGUAUAUCAGGAAUUGAUUGUCUUCUUGUGUAUGUGUUAUACAUGUUCAUGUAGGCAUAGGAAUUUAAGCACCAAAAUAUUUUAGUUGUAAAGUGACAUCUUUAUGUAUUUUAUUUCUAACUUGAACUUUGAACAUUGUAUUUUUAGGGAUGUUUUUACUUACAUAUUUACAAACAAAACAAAACAAUAUUCGUCCGAGUAUGUCUCGUGAGACGACUUGUCGCAUUGGGUCGGAGCAUAUAUGACUAUUUAUGCACCGAUGGGUCGGACCCAGGUUUCCAGUUUCCCAUUAUUGGGUUUGUUUGGUUGUUCCUGGCCGGCGAGGUCGUUGAUGAUCGAGUUAUUCAUUUGUUCAGUUAUUUAGUUUACAUUCAUGUCAACCAUACUAUAUCUCUUGUUAGUAACAAGGUCUACUUUACUAGCUAAGUCGUACCUAAUAGUAUAUUUCAAGGUUUUUGUUAUUGGGAAUAAUUGUGGUUAUUGUUUUUUUCAUAUAUUUAUAUAUUAAGACACAUGUAUAUAAUUAUUUAAUAAAUUCCGUUGUCCACUAUGCUUGCUGGGCUAUCAGCAACACUAUAUAUAGCGUAUAUGGUAUACAUAUAGUUAGUCAAAUGCAAAAGGUUGACAUGACAUUAUUUCUUUAGUACUGGUACAAGUCAUUGAAAUCAUAUUGUAUAAUGUAUGUUUAUAUUGAUAAUUUGUCUUAUUAAAUGGCAGCUCACAAUAUGCUGUACUUGAGCUAGUCAACAAACAUAA
This is a long non-coding RNA of Mytilus trossulus (common blue mussel), 2570 nucleotides long. RefSeq lists it as uncharacterized. The transcript has 3 exons. The record is from RefSeq and is a predicted model, not a curated record. NCBI's taxonomy places the organism in Eukaryota, Metazoa, Mollusca, Bivalvia, Mytilida, Mytilidae.